Molecule: ribosomal RNA, 1355 nt
Filed under: uncultured bacterium
Lineage: Bacteria
Description: bacterial SSU rRNA
Rfam family: Bacterial small subunit ribosomal RNA
Source: RNAcentral
AUUGAACGCUGGCGGCAUGCCUUACACAUGCAAGUCGAACGGCAGCACGGAGCUUGCUCUGGUGGCGAGUGGCGAACGGGUGAGUAAUAUAUCGGAACGUACCCUAGAGUGGGGGAUAACGUAGCGAAAGUUACGCUAAUACCGCAUACGAUCUAAGGAUGAAAGUGGGGGAUUCGCAAGAACCUCAUGCUCGUGGAGCGGCCGAUAUCUGAUUAGCUAGUUGGUAGGGUAAAAGCCUACCAAGGCAUCGAUCAGUAGCUGGUCUGAGAGGACGACCAGCCACACUGGAACUGAGACACGGUCCAGACUCCUACGGGAGGCAGCAGUGGGGAAUUUUGGACAAUGGGCGAAAGCCUGAUCCAGCAAUGCCGCGUGAGUGAAGAAGGCCUUCGGGUUGUAAAGCUCUUUUGUCAGGGAAGAAACGGUGAAAGCUAAUAUCUUUUGCUAAUGACGGUACCUGAAGAAUAAGCACCGGCUAACUACGUGCCAGCAGCCGCGGUAAUACGUAGGGUGCAAGCGUUAAUCGGAAUUACUGGGCGUAAAGCGUGCGCAGGCGGUUUUGUAAGUCUGAUGUGAAAUCCCCCGGGCUCAACCUGGGAAUUGCAUUGGAGACUGCAAGGCUAGAAUCUGGCAGAGGGGGGUAGAAUUCCACGUGUAGCAGUGAAAUGCGUAGAUAUGUGGAGGAACACCGAUGGCGAAGGCAGCCCCCUGGGUCAAGAUUGACGCUCAUGCACGAAAGCGUGGGGAGCAAACAGGAUUAGAUACCCUGGUAGUCCACGCCCUAAACGAUGUCUACUAGUUGUCGGGUCUUAAUUGACUUGGUAACGCAGCUAACGCGUGAAGUAGACCGCCUGGGGAGUACGGUCGCAAGAUUAAAACUCAAAGGAAUUGACGGGGACCCGCACAAGCGGUGGAUGAUGUGGAUUAAUUCGAUGCAACGCGAAAAACCUUACCUACCCUUGACAUGGCUGGAAUCCUUGAGAGAUCAGGGAGUGCUCGAAAGAGAACCAGUACACAGGUGCUGCAUGGCUGUCGUCAGCUCGUGUCGUGAGAUGUUGGGUUAAGUCCCGCAACGAGCGCAACCCUUGUCAUUAGUUGCUACGAAAGGGCACUCUAAUGAGACUGCCGGUGACAAACCGGAGGAAGGUGGGGAUGACGUCAAGUCCUCAUGGCCCUUAUGGGUAGGGCUUCACACGUCAUACAAUGGUACAUACAGAGCGCCGCCAACCCGCGAGGGGGAGCUAAUCGCAGAAAGUGUAUCGUAGUCCGGAUUGUAGUCUGCAACUCGACUGCAUGAAGUUGGAAUCGCUAGUAAUCGCGGAUCAGCAUGUCGCGGUGAAUACGUUCCCGGGUCU